Molecule: small nucleolar RNA, 131 nt
Organism: Apodemus sylvaticus (European woodmouse)
Lineage: Eukaryota; Metazoa; Chordata; Mammalia; Rodentia; Muridae
Product: small nucleolar RNA SNORA17
Exons: 1
Source: RefSeq, a predicted model, not a curated record
AUUGACCCCUUCCCUUAGCUUUUGUGGCUUCUGUGUCGCAUGUGUGUCAGUAGGUGUUAGAGAAGAGGGAAGCUAUGUCAUUAUUCAGUGUUUUGGUCUGUAAACAUGUGAAUAAUUAGUAACCUAAAAUU